This is a long non-coding RNA of Eriocheir sinensis (Chinese mitten crab), 957 nucleotides long. RefSeq lists it as uncharacterized. NCBI's taxonomy places the organism in Eukaryota, Metazoa, Arthropoda, Malacostraca, Decapoda, Varunidae. The record is from RefSeq and is a predicted model, not a curated record. The transcript is spliced from 3 exons.
GUGCAGAAUGUCCAAUGGAAUGACCAGUUACGAGACGUCCUACGCAAUGGCCAACCCUUCCCUCCCCUUACCCACCUCCCGUCCCCCCCAGCCAUCCCUUUAUCCAGCAAUAGCUCGGUGCAUCAGUUCAUGGGGAACGGCUGGCGGCUGGCUGCUCGUGAUCCUUGCCGCCCCCGCGAAUUCUGAACCACACUUCAUAUUUUCAUAUGGUACCAUGUGGCUUUUGAGGCUUUGCUAACUUUUUAAGCCUCUUUGUACAGUUUAAAUAACGUAAGCGUUGAUGCAGAUAGACAUAUGCAAUUAUAAUGUAUUGGCUGAAAUGGAAUGAAAAUCUGUACACUUUAUGUUUAUUUGUUCAGCAAAUUUAAAGUCACGGCCAAAAACCUGGGUUCCGGAUAUGUCUGACGUAUCCUGAUAUUUUCCUGACUCAGUUCGGGUAUCGAAACAUAAGUUCGGCCAUACACCAGACACCAUCCCUCGGUCAGUGUCCGCAACACCUUGUGGGUAACUGCAUGCGUGCCGGGCAUAUUUGUUUAUUGUUGUUUCGUGCUGUUAAUUGGCCGCUAACCUUACAUUUUCAUAUAACAAGGAAAUGUAUUGGAAUGAAGUACACGAAUAAUUCGCAUUAAUAUACGUAAUAUUUUUGGCGACUUUAAGUUAAAAAAAAAUGUAAAAAAAUUGCGAACGCUGAAUUGCUGCUGCCAACACUGUUUGUUUACAUGUAUCAUCUGAAUAAAUGCUUGUAGUUAUCAUUCAGCUUUUAUUAUCCAUUUGAUAUUUUUAUUACCUUAUUCUUGUAGAAUAAUGGAAAAAAAUAUUCGCAGUAUCAUGAUAUGCUUAAGCACCUGGAGUCGAAAAAGAAAAUGGCAGACAUUCCGUGACUUACGUCGACGGUGCGUCCUGUGUUGACAUGGAUUGGAAAUCUUCAGAUAACUUGUUUUAGUUAUUCUUUCUUAA